AGCAGCCGCGGUAAUUCCAGCUCCAAUAGCGUAUAUUAAAGUUGUUGCAGUUAAAAAGCUCGUAGCUGAACUUCGGGGUUUACCCAUUGGUCAGGCUUAAUUGUCUGUACUGGUGAGAUAAAUCUCUACCUUCUGAGGAACUUUCAUGUCAUUAAUUUGGUGUGAUUGGAAAUCAGGACUGUUACUUUGAAAAAAUUAGAGUGUUUAAAGCAGGCUAACGUCUGAAUACAUUAGCAUGGAAUAAUGAAAUAGGACGGACUGAUUCUAUUUCGUUGGUUUCUAGGAUCACCGUAAUGAUUAAUAGGGAUAGUUGGGGGCAUUAGUAUUCAAUUGUCAGAGGUGAAAUUCUUGGAUUUAUUGAAGACUAACUACUGCGAAAGCAUUUGCCAAGGAUGUUUUCAUUAAUCAAGAACGAAAGUUAGGGGAUCGAAGACGAUCAGAUACCGUCGUAGUCUUAACCAUAAACUAUGCCGACUAGGGAUCGGACGAAGUUAAUUUUAUAAUGACGCGUUCGGCACCU
Molecule: ribosomal RNA, 520 nt
Filed under: uncultured Diversispora
Lineage: Eukaryota; Fungi; Glomeromycota; Glomeromycetes; Diversisporales; Diversisporaceae
Description: SSU rRNA
Rfam family: Eukaryotic small subunit ribosomal RNA
Source: RNAcentral